RNAcentral lists this ribosomal RNA (1513 nucleotides) under uncultured prokaryote. Its description in RNAcentral is "partial 16S ribosomal RNA". It matches the Rfam family "Bacterial small subunit ribosomal RNA". The record is from RNAcentral.
AGAGUUUGGAUCAUGGGCGCAGAUCGAACGCUGGCGGCAUGCCUAACACAUGCAAGUCGAACGGAAACGAUGGUAGCUUGCUACCAGGCGUCGAGUGGCGGACGGGGGAGUAAAGCGUAGGAAUCUGCCUUGGGGUUGGAGUGGGGGACAACAUGGGGAAACUCAUGCUAAUACCGCAUACACCCUACGGGGGAAAGCGGGGGAUCUUCGGACCUCGCGCUCUAAGAUGAGCCUGCGUCGGAUUAGCUAGUUGGUGAGGUAAUGGCUCACCAAGGCGACGAUCCGUAGCUGGUCUGAGAGGACGACCAGCCACACUGGGACUGAGACACGGCCCAGACUCCUACGGGAGGCAGCAGUGGGGAAUAUUGGACAAUGGGGGCAACCCUGAUCCAGCAAUGCCGCGUGUGUGAAGAAGGCCUUCGGGUUGUAAAGCACUUUCAGCAGCGAGGAAAAGCCUAGGGUUAAUAUCCAUGGGUCUUGACGUUAACUGCAGAAGAAGCACCGGCUAGCAUCGUGCCAGCAGACGCGGUAAUACGAAGGUUGCAAGCGUUAAUCGGAAUUACUGGGCGUAAAGCGCGCGCGUAGGCGGUUAGAUAAGUUGGGUGUGAAAUCCCUGGGCUCAACCUAGGAACUGCAUUCGAUACUGCAUAGCUAGAUUAUGGUAGAGGGAAGUGGAAUUUCCGGUGUAGCGGUGAAAUGCGUAGAUUUCAGAAGGAACCCUAGUGGCGAAGGCGACUCACUGGACUGUAUCUGACGCUGAGGUGCGAAAGCGUGGGUAGCAAACAGGAUUAGAUACCCUGGUAGUCCACGCUGUAAACGAUGAGUACUAGAUGUUAGACGGCGUUGACUGUUUAGUAUCGAAGCUAACGCGUUAAGUACUCCGCCUGGGGAGUACGCCGGCAACGGUAAAACUCAAAGGAAUUGACGGGGACCCGCACAAGCGGUGGAGCAUGUGGUUUAAUUCGAUGCAACGCGAAGAACCUUACCUGCCCUUGACAUUGACAGAAUCCUCUAGAGAUACGGGGGGAGUGCUUCGGCCUGGAAAACAGGUGCUGCAUGGCUGUCGUCAGCUCGUGUCGUGAGAUGUUGGGUUAAGUCCCGCAACGAGCGCAACCCUUGUCCUUAGUUGCCAGCACGUAAUGGUGGGAACUCUAAUGGGACUGCCGCUGAUAAGGCGGAGGAAGGUGGGGACGACGUCAAGUCAUCAUGGCCCUUACGGGUAGGGCUACACACGUGCUACAAUGGUUGUUACAGAGGGAUGCGAAGCAGUGAUGUGGAGCGAAACCCAGAAAGGCAAUCGUAGUCCGGAUUGGAGUCUGCAACUCGACUCCAUGAAGUUGGAAUCGCUAGUAAUCGCGAAUCAGAAUGUCGCGGUGAAUACGUUCCCGGGUCUUGUACACACCGCCCGUCACACCAUGGGAGUGGGUUGCAAAAGAAGUGGGUAGACUAACCUUCGGGGGGUCGCUCACCACUUUGUGAUUCAUGACUGGGGUGAAGUCGGAACAAGGUAGCC